RNAcentral lists this ribosomal RNA (497 nucleotides) under uncultured bacterium. RNAcentral describes it as "partial 16S ribosomal RNA". It matches the Rfam family "Bacterial small subunit ribosomal RNA", at positions 28 to 507 of the family's 1533-position model. The record is from RNAcentral.
GGCGAACGCUGGCGGCGUGCCUAAUACAUGCAAGUUGAGCGAUGAAGAUUGGUGCUUGCCCCAAUUUGAAGAGCAGCGAACGGGUGAGUAACGCGUGGGGAAUCUGCCUUUGAGCGGGGGACAACAUUUGGAAACGAAUGCUAAUACCGCAUAACAACUUUAAACAUAAGUUUUAAGUUUGAAAGAUGCAAUUGCAUCACUCAAAGAUGAUCCCGCGUUGUAUUAGCUAGUUGGUGAGGUAAAGGCUCACCAAGGCGAUGAUACAUAGCCGACCUGAGAGGGUGAUCGGCCACAUUGGGACUGAGACACGGCCCAAACUCCUACGGGAGGCAGCAGUAGGGAAUCUUCGGCAAUGGACGAAAGUCUGACCGAGCAACGCCGCGUGAGUGAAGAAGGUUUUCGGAUCGUAAAACUCUGUUGGUAGAGAAGAACGUUGGUGAGAGUGGAAAGCUCAUCAAGUGACGGUAACUACCCAGAAAGGGACGGCUAACUACGUG